AACUUGAUAUGCUCGCUUGGUUUCACUACGACGGUGAAUGAAAAGGGAAUCCGGUGCGAAUCCGGAACGGUCCCGCCGCGGUGAGGAACGACGCUGUUGACGUUGCGGCUAAUCGGCCGCAAGCCACUCGCUUGGUUGCGGGGAAGGCGGUGCGACAGCGGAUGACAUCCGAGUCCGAAGACCUGCCAGGCGAAGCAGCUCUGU
Molecule: non-coding RNA, 204 nt
Filed under: Alicyclobacillus hesperidum
Lineage: Bacteria; Bacillati; Bacillota; Bacilli; Caryophanales; Alicyclobacillaceae
Source: RNAcentral